This 504-nucleotide ribosomal RNA is filed under the name uncultured bacterium. RNAcentral describes it as "partial 16S ribosomal RNA". It matches the Rfam family "Bacterial small subunit ribosomal RNA", at positions 29 to 523 of the family's 1533-position model. The record is from RNAcentral.
AUUGAACGCUGGCGGCAGGCCUAACACAUGCAAGUCGAGCGGUAGCACAGAGAGCUUGCUCUCGGGUGACGAGCGGCGGACGGGUGAGUAAUGUCUGGGAAACUGCCUGAUGGAGGGGGAUAACUACUGGAACAGGUAGCUAAUACCGCAUACCGUCGCAAGACCAAAGUUGGGGACCUUCGGGCCUCAUGCCAUCAGAGGUGCCCAGAUGGGAUUAGCUAGUAGGUGGGGUAACGGCUCACCUAGGCGACGAUCCCUAGCUGGUCUGAGAGGAUGACCAGCCACACUGGAACUGAGACACGGUCCAGACUCCUACGGGAGGCAGCAGUGGGGAAUAUUGCACAAUGGGCGCAAGCCUGAUGCAGCCAUGCCGCGUGUGUGAAGAAGGCCUUCGGGUUGUAAAGCACUUUCAGCGGGGAGGAAGGCGGUGAGGUUAAUAACCUCAUCGAUUGACGUUACCCGCAGAAGAAGCACCGGCUAACUCCGUGCCAGCCGCCGCAGUAA